UCGGCCUUGUUCCGACCCCAUCACUCAGCCGUCCUCCAUCACUUCCCCUUUCUACAUCAUUUUACAUAAUGGUUCUGCCCGUCCAGAUAUAUUCCUUACGUUUAACAACACUGAAGAAAGUCUGUUGGUACACCCCUCCCCACCCGUUCUGUAAUGAUUUCAAAUAAUUAAAACUCGAGGACAUGGUUGCAUUGAAAAAGGAACACGUUUAACAUUCAAUUGUCCUUUUAAUGUCCCUUUCUUCACUGUAAAACAAGUAUUCCCUACUGUUUCUUUGGUUUGAUUAUUUCCCUGUUUUGUGAAAAAUGCUGGCCGUUUCAAAUCGUUUAGUUCAUAAUAUGCUGUGCUGGAAAACCUUGAAAUGUUUUAAAUGGCAGCAGUGACCUGAGGGUCUUCUCUGCCCUUUCCUGCAUUAUGUUUUCCUGAAUCCAACCUGUCAAAAUGAGAUGGAGAGACAAGAGGAAGGCAAGCAGGAGCGUCCAGAAUACGAGAGGCCGGUGCUACACAGCGUCGUGUUGGAUCUGCUCACAUUCACCCACUGUCGGCUGUCGGCUAUAGGAGGAGAGACCUGGCAGCCAUGCAACCCGCUCCAUCAAAGUGGGUGUCGUUCUGCAGGGGUACAGCGAGGGAGAGAAGGGCACCAGUCCAACGAGAUCGCUCCUCUCAAUUUCGGGAACACUGCUUUUGGACCGUCAGCAUUUACAGUCAGAGCGGCAGAAAAUGGAACUGGUAAUGGCAACGGAUAAUGGAAAUGGAACUCAAUUUGCAUACGCACGAGAAAAUGCACAGGCUUAAGUGUUCGGAAACAUGUUAAACAUGGCUCAAGAUAGACAAAUCAUGUGAUCACUGAUCUAAGAGUGAACACACACGUUAUAAGAAUGAAGCCUUACUGACAAGAGUCUUAAAUUAUUCAUUCAAUGAAUCUCUAUCCGCUUCUCCCCUCUUCUACACAUGCAUUUAAACAUCCUCAAACAAGUGCAUGAUACUUUAUAACCCUCCAGAGAGAAAGGCCACUGGUGGCAAUAAUGCAAUAUCCAAUAUUCCGAAAGUAAAAAUGAUAAACUCUGAUCUUUAUGCAUUUAAUUGUAUUUAUUUAUUGGUAUUAUUUCAGGUUAUUUGUUGGCACAAUUCAACAAUUCAGCUCAUGUUCACAUAACUAAUUAAAAAAUAUGGGUUAGAACUGAUAUCCAAUCAGUUAAUGAAACGUGCAGAAUGGGAACCGGCCCAAUUCUCAGAGCAAUCAGCACAGGAAGGCGUCAGGCGGGACAUGGUGUAGGAAAGGAAGCGUCAACAAACUUAUUCAGGCAAUCAGAGUUUGGUCUCAUGCUUUUCUGAUAUUUCACAAAGGAAAAAAAAGUGGAAAUAACAACCUAACAAAUGCAACAUUACUGAAAGUAUAAAAUACACAUCUCAUUUUGAGUCUUUACUGCAUAAAAAUAAAUAAACAAGGAAAGCUUCAAUCAAAAGGUUCUGAUGUUAAACAUGCACGCAAAAAAAGACGGGAUAUGAUGUCCAUAAGAGUAAUGAGGCCCUAGGAGAGGUUGAGAAACAAAAACCCAUGGCUCGGAUAGAGCGCUACCAUACUGUGUCCUGCACCCACAAAGAGAGCAGGAGCCAUGUAAUUUAUCAACACAUGGGAAAUUACUUACUAUUGUUGUCGCAGAAUGAACAGGGGAGGAGGUGUAAAAUAGGUUUAAGCAUGUCAAUGAAUCAUCAACUCAACCUGCUUACCUCUCCUGCUCUCUCUCUCUCUCUCUCUCUCUCUCUCUCUCUCUCUCUCUCUCUCUCUCUCUCUCUCUCUCUCUCUCUCUCUCUCUCUCUCUCUCUCAAGCUCUCUCUCAAGCUCUCUCUCAAGCUCUCUCUCGCUCUCUCAUAUAUGUAUUUAUAUAGUCUCUUGAAGACAAUCUUCAUUUCGCUCAAUCUUCAUUUUGCUGUUCAUAUUCACGUUUUGUCACUUCACGUAUCAAAGAGAUAAGAUUUACAUGAAGUGUGUUCAUUUAGAGUGUUUAAUUAUUAAUCCUGCUGUCUAGAUGUGUACAUUCGAGAUGAUCGCAACCCAUAUUUUCCCUGGUUAAAUAAUCGGUUGGUGAUAUGAGUGAAUAAUCAGGUAAUUGGCCAUCACGGUCAGAAAUUAAUCCCUUGCACGUACUGAAUAUUGUGUUCAUAUUGAUGGCCCAGCAAGUCUUAGCUGCAUUUCACCUUCCACAUCAGGAGGUACCAAACAGUCAUUUGUUGGUAUUACCUGUAAUUUGUCCUGAAUUGAAAAGGUGAUGCAUUUUGUGACUGUUGGAGCGCAACUCUAUCAUCUCCGCUAGUCUCACUCUUGACUUCAACCACCUUUCAUUCGCAUCCACCAGGUCGGGUUUUUUAGUAAAGCCCAAAGGAUAUAGAUCUUCAUAUUUUCAGUAGGACAGAAACAAGACGGAGAACAAUGUUGUUUAACGGAGCAAGGCAGACAGAUCUCAGACUUGACAUGGCCCUAUUUUCAAAUAGGACUCAUCUACUUUGGACACAGUAAUUUUGAAACAUCUACUGUCCGUCCCGACAUGGCUGUGUUAUUUUUGUUUAACACGUAUGUAACUCUUCACUGUGCUUUGAAGCACUGUUCCACUAUUUACCAGAAAGAUACAUGAUCCGAUACCAGAGAGAAAGGAUAAGGGUUUGAGACCCAAGUUCUGUCUGGGUUAGAGUCCUAGAAUCUGUGUUGGAGUCCCAGAGAAAGGACCAAGUUCCUUUAGGUCGGGUUGGAGUCCCAGAGAAAGGACCAAGUUCCUUUAGGUCGGGUUGGAGUCCCAGAGAAAGGACCAAGUUCCUUUAGGUCGGGUUGGAGUCCCAGAGAAAGGACCAAGUUCCUUUAGGUCGGGUUGGAGUCCCAGAGAAAGGACCAAGUUCCUUAGGUCGGGUUGGAGUCCCAGAGAAAGGACCAAGUUCCUUAGGUCGGGUUGGAGUCCCAGAGAAAGGACCAAGUUCCUUUAGGUCGGGUUGGAGUCCCAGAGAGAGGACCAAAUUCCUUUAGGUCUGGUUGGAGUCCUGACGUGGGUAACUUCGAAGGGUUUAAGACCCGAGUUCUGUCUGGGUUGGAGUCCUAGUAUCCGGGUUGGAGUCCCGGAGAAAGGACCAAUUUCCUUUAGGUCGGGUGUGAGUCCCGAAGUGGGUACCAGAGCGACUGUUGAUGUGAUCUUAAAUACACUGCACUUUCUAAAAUGCUGAUCUAUUUUACUCAUUUAUUUGCAUAGGUUUUCUUUUACUUAUCUAUUAUUUUAUUUUAUUGUAUGACAUUGUUUAUAUGUGAAGCACUUUGAGUGUACAUGUAUGUAAGUGCUAUAUAAAUAAAGUUGCCUUGCCUUGCCUAUUCAUACAG
This is a long non-coding RNA of Gadus macrocephalus (Pacific cod), 3361 nucleotides long. RefSeq lists it as uncharacterized. The transcript is spliced from 3 exons. The record is from RefSeq and is a predicted model, not a curated record. Lineage: Eukaryota; Metazoa; Chordata; Actinopteri; Gadiformes; Gadidae.